This 274-nucleotide small RNA is filed under the name human gut metagenome. Its description in RNAcentral is "5' ureB small RNA". The record is from RNAcentral.
CAUAUGGACGUGACCGUCGAUUCCUGCGGCCGUCAGGAUAAGAUGCUCGCCCGAUAUGGCGUCGGUCGACGGGCCUGUGACCAGGUCGGGGCUGACACCCUUCAUGACAUUGGGGUUGCCUGCCUUGCCGAUUCCCGCGAUCUUGCCGUCCUUUACGCCUACAUCGGCCUUGACGACGCCAAGCACCGGGUCAAGAAUAGUGACGUUGGUGAUCACCAGAUCAAGACUGCCGGCAUCGGACGUGCACUCGUUGGCGAGACCCAUGCCGUCGCGC